UCUGUAUACUCUUUAAGUUAGCCUUAGCUUUGAUACUCUAAUCAAAGUUAACCCAAAUUCUUACAAAAAAGUCUGAUGAAACUUUUUGGAUAAGUUUCUUUCGCUUAGUACUUAGUAAAAAAAACCAUUGCCUAUUUUCUGGGGCUUGCGAUGCUCAAGGACAUCAAGACUUCCCAAAGUUCACUCUUUAAAAUAAAUCUGACACUUAAAUAUUGUUUUUUUUUUCAAAAAUUAAUACAUUGACACACAAAAUACAUUAAUGUGCCAGUCUUGUAAAGAGGCCUCCCCAAAAUCUUGGUGCAUGGGCUAUGCCAUCUAUUGUAUCAUAAUGGGAUUCUUCUCCCUCUGCUCAAAUUUCUAUGGAAUGCUCUUCUACACCUACAUAGUUCUGCAGCCAAAGGUUUCGACUCUAAACCUGGUCCAUGUCGUGAACAGUACGACCCAGCAUUAUGUGUUGAAUGUCAAGGAAUCAAGUAUCGAUAUUCGCCCUUUAGAAUAUGUAGCUCUAACUGUCGGUUGUGUGUAUUUUAUAUUCGAAAUUUUAUAUAUUUUGGCAGGAUCUUUUAUGCUUGUGGGCGUUAUAAAGGAACGUCAAGAGUUGUUCUUCGUUGGGAAGACUUUCAGUUACUUUUGGCCCAUUUUUUAUUUUUAUUUAAUAUUUCCAUUGACCAUUCAUAUCAUAGCCAUAACAAAAAUAAGAAAGCAUAUUAAAAGGCAGUGGCCCUAGUAUCUUAAAAUUACCAUUUUAGGAUGUGUUUAUGAGUUCAAUAUUUUGGCAUUCACCUCUGAAAAGUUUCGUUUUUAAGGGCAUACAAAUUUCAUUACCAUCAGACCCUCCUAUUAUUCGUAUGGCCUGUUCCGCUGGGAGACGACACUGCUGGAGGCGAUGUCACUGAUUCCAUAUCUGCUCAAUUUAGCGCCGGUGCACGCGAGUGGCUCCUCAGACCCGAUACUCCGGACUUGCCAUGGAGAUCCGUGAUCCGUGAGUCGAGGCAAGUUGAGUCGCCUCAAGAUUGGCGGCACGAACCGCCGAAUGCAUAGAGCUGUUCCAGCCACUGUUCCAUGGAAUGGCUUGGAAGUCUACCGUUACUAAUAGUGCAUACUGUGAGCCCCAUGCAUUUCUCCAUGAGAUUGCCAUUCCGUGUAUCACACAUAAUUCCAUGUGAAUCCAUGUGAUAACUGUGCUUUCGCCGUGUUCGAGUCGCAGCUAAAAGUGAUAAUUGCCAGCUCAUUAUCAGCGUUUUGCGUGAGCAAUUCGAGCCGGGCCAGAAGAUGCAGUGCAUCUAUCCACCACCGCCCAGCAGACACGUCUGCUGCAUGCCCAUAACGUACAUUAUGCAUUAGCACUUGCAUAUAUUUCACAUUUGCGAUUUCAGACUCAGUUGUGGUCUGAAAACAUAAUCUAAACACUUGUUCUUCAGCUCUCUAAUUAAUUUAGUGGCCUAGGGUGGUGGUGGAUGGCCUGAAUUAAUGGGCUUAAAUACGAUAAGAUUAAUUAAAUAUA
Drosophila ananassae is the source of this 1504-nucleotide RNA transcript. RefSeq lists it as uncharacterized. The transcript is spliced from 4 exons. The record is from RefSeq and is a predicted model, not a curated record. NCBI's taxonomy places the organism in Eukaryota, Metazoa, Arthropoda, Insecta, Diptera, Drosophilidae.